GACAUACAAGUUAUUGUGGUAGAAUUUGCUCACAAAAUAGCGGCUUUGUUGAUUUUAUUUAUUCUGAAAAAGAAAUCACGAUGGAAUAAAAUAUUUUUACAAUGAACUAAAAUUAUAAACAUUCAAAAAAUAAAAUAAAAUAAGGGUAUUUCACGUGAGAUGUUGUCACACUGGAAUAAGUAAACAUUUUGAUACGUGCGUUGUAUGUUACUAUCUGAAAUGUUGCCGAUGAUAAUCUGAUCAGACCAAGGAGCAUAGAGCCCGCGAGGCGACCAGAGGAGUCCUGUGUUGUCUUCGCCCAGCGCUCACACAGCUCAGUGCGAGCCGAGUGCUGCAAAUGGCCGCCGGCGGCAACAGGAAGCUGCUAUCGGCGGGCGGAACAGGAACCCGCUGUGACGUCACGCAGCGAGUGUGUCCUGUUGCCCACGAGGACAGGUCUCCAGGGAGCGACGCAGUGUAGCUGCGCUCUAUUCUGAGACAGGAUCGGCGGUCGCUGCGAAUCAUCACUCAUCCGGGACAGGACAAGACGUUCAACAGCUUCAAGCUUCAAGUGCGGUCCACGCUACCGGCCAUGCGGUUUGCUGGAUCCGCCUUGUGCUGUGGUGUUGAGGCCUGUCCUCAUGGGCCCUGAAGCAAUGAAGUGACCGCACACACGUAUCAGGAAAGCCGGCAGCUUUUUUAUUUUUUGGCAUGAUUUACUUACCUUUUUACAACGUUACCCUAAGUGGAAAUUUUUUUUUGUGGACUUAAUCUCAUCAGACUUUUCGUCAACCAUGUUUUUCUCUUUUUUUUAAUUAAAUUUUUUGGACCAACAAAACAACGUUUUAUCUAAUUUAUAAUUUUUGAAACAACGAAACAGCUUAACGAC
This is a long non-coding RNA of Bacillus rossius redtenbacheri, 868 nucleotides long. RefSeq lists it as uncharacterized. Lineage: Eukaryota; Metazoa; Arthropoda; Insecta; Phasmatodea; Bacillidae. The transcript is spliced from 3 exons. The record is from RefSeq and is a predicted model, not a curated record.